GACGAACGCUGGCGGCGUGCUUAACACAUGCAAGUCGAACGGAAAGGCCCUGCCUUUGUGGGGUGCUCGAGUGGCGAACGGGUGAGUAACACGUGAGUAACCUGCCCUUGACUUUGGGAUAACUUCAGGAAACUGGGGCUAAUACCGGAUAGGAGCUCCUGCUGCAUGGUGGGGGUUGGAAAGUUUCGGCGGUUGGGGAUGGACUCGCGGCUUAUCAGCUUGUUGGUGGGGUAGUGGCUUACCAAGGCUUUGAGGGGUAGUCGGCCUGAGAGGGUGACCGUCCACGUGGGUACUAGGAUACGGCCCAGACUCCUACGGGAGGCAGCAGUGGGGAAGAUUGCACAAUGGGCGGAAGCCUGAGGCGGCAACGCCGCGGGCGGGAUGACGGCCUUCGGGUUGUAAACCGCUUUCGCCUGUGACGAAGCGUGAGUGACGGUAAUGGGUAAAGAAGCACCGGCUAACUACGUGCCAGCCGCCGCGGUAA
Molecule: ribosomal RNA, 484 nt
Filed under: uncultured bacterium
Lineage: Bacteria
Description: partial 16S ribosomal RNA
Rfam family: Bacterial small subunit ribosomal RNA
Source: RNAcentral